UUUCAGAAUCAAAUGUGGACGAUGGGAAGCCCCAAGUUGCAGAAGAGACAUCUUCACCAGCAGUUGAAGACAUUCCUUCUACCCAUCCCA
This is a long non-coding RNA of Patiria miniata (bat star), 90 nucleotides long. RefSeq lists it as uncharacterized. The record is from RefSeq and is a predicted model, not a curated record. The transcript has 2 exons. NCBI's taxonomy places the organism in Eukaryota, Metazoa, Echinodermata, Asteroidea, Valvatida, Asterinidae.